GACGAACGCUGGCGGCGUGCUUAACACAUGCAAGUCGAACGGAAAGGCCUGCUUUCCCUUGUGGAUUGCGGGUACUCGAGUGGCGAACGGGUGAGUAACACGUGAGUGAUCUGCCCCCAACUUGGGUAUAAGCCUGGGAAACUGGGUCUAAUUCCCGAUAGGACUGCAGGGUGGUGCCUGUGGUGGAAAACGAUUUUCUAGUGGUUGGGGAUGAGCUCGCGGCCUAUCAGCUUGUUGGUGGGGUAAUGGCCUACCAAGGCGGCGACGGGUAGCCGGCCUGGGAGGGUGGACGGCCACAUUGGGACUGAGAUACGGCCCAGACUCCUACGGGAGGCAGCAGUGGGGAAUAUUGCACAAUGGGCGGAAGCCUGAUGCAGCGACGCCGCGUGGGGGAUGACGGCCUUCGGGGUGUAAACUCCUUUCGACCGCGAGGAAGCCACCUGGUUGGAAGGGUGGUGACGGUAGUGGUAGAAGAAGCACCGGCUAACUACGU
This 493-nucleotide ribosomal RNA is filed under the name uncultured bacterium. RNAcentral describes it as "partial 16S ribosomal RNA". It matches the Rfam family "Bacterial small subunit ribosomal RNA", at positions 28 to 506 of the family's 1533-position model. The record is from RNAcentral.